AUUGAAACACCGGUUUCUCGUACGAUCACCGAAGUUAAGCAACAUCGAGCCUGGUUAGUAAUUCGAUGGGUGACUGCUUUGGAAUACUAGGAG
This 93-nucleotide ribosomal RNA is filed under the name Acanthosepion pharaonis. The record is from RNAcentral. Lineage: Eukaryota; Metazoa; Mollusca; Cephalopoda; Sepiida; Sepiidae.